UGUCCUACGGGAGGCAGCAGUGAGGAAUAUUGGUCAAUGGGCUUACGCCUGAACCAGCCAAGUCGCGUGAGGGAAGACUGCCCUAUGGGUUGUAAACCUCUUUUGUCAGGGAGCAACGCCGGCUACGUGUAGCCGGACUGAGAGUACCUGAAGAAAAAGCAUCGGCUAACUCCGUGCCAGCAGCCGCGGUAAUACGUAGGGUGCGAGCGUUAAUCGGAAUUACUGGGCGUAAAGGGUGCGCAGGCGGUUGAGUAAGACAGAUGUGAAAUCCCCGAGCUUAACUCGGGAAUGGCAUAUGUGACUGC
RNAcentral lists this ribosomal RNA (305 nucleotides) under uncultured bacterium. RNAcentral's name for it is "bacterial SSU rRNA". It matches the Rfam family "Bacterial small subunit ribosomal RNA", at positions 335 to 636 of the family's 1533-position model. The record is from RNAcentral.